CGUUAGCGACAGGGGCGCUCGGGAAACCGGGCUGAGACGUACCCUUCGAACCUGAACCGGAUAAUGCCGGCGGAGGGAGGCGCACAGGGCAGACC
RNAcentral lists this non-coding RNA (95 nucleotides) under Antarctobacter albus. RNAcentral's name for it is "Antarctobacter sp. JLT354-W TPP riboswitch aptamer (THI element)". It matches the Rfam family "TPP riboswitch aptamer (THI element)". Rfam says of the family: Vitamin B(1) in its active form thiamin pyrophosphate (TPP) is an essential coenzyme that is synthesised by coupling of pyrimidine and thiazole moieties in bacteria. The previously detected thiamin-regulatory element, thi box was extended, resulting in a new, highly conserved RNA secondary structure, the THI element, which is widely distributed in eubacteria and also occurs in some archaea. The record is from Rfam by way of RNAcentral. RNAcentral also lists the same sequence under 1 other name. Lineage: Bacteria; Pseudomonadati; Pseudomonadota; Alphaproteobacteria; Rhodobacterales; Roseobacteraceae.